UUGCCCUGUUGGAUCCCUUCGUUCAGUUCAUCAGGUGGUAAGUGGCUAAGCAUGGUUUUUCUUAUGUGAGGCUCAUGUUGGUUUUGGCCACUGCAGGAUACAGGACCAAUGCAUUUGCUUCCAAAUUCAUGCCUCAAGGAUAGCCAUUACAAUGGGAUAGCAAGUCCUGUAAAUCCAAUGUGUUGGUAGCUUCAUUUGGAUUGUUGUAGCCUGAAGUGGUGCUGCACAGGGCCAAGACUUUGAUGGAUUGCAAGGCAUGGGUUCAGUUUAUGGGUAUGCAGUAGGAUGUUGGCUUGUCUACAGGUAUUGGUUGUGAUUGAGUUUCAAGGUAAUCACCUUGGUUCAGCUUGGCCUGCUACAAGGUAUGUCUUGAUCAGUUGUGUGGUGAAAUCUCCAUGACCUUGCACUUGUUUGUUUCAUCUUGGGGCAGUACAACACAAAGAGUGGAAUUACAAAUCGUGAUUAAAUCCAUGUUGAUGUGCACCUCAUGGCGUGGACCGAUAGGAUAUGUGCUUGCACUUGGCCUGCAUCAUUUAUUCACUGAUUUGUUCUUGCUUCUGGUUUUAAGCUUGUGCAGGUUUGGCAUUGCAGCAGGGUAUAGCAGGGCAAAUGGCUUUGAGUUAGAAAUAUGUUAUGUGUACUGCAGGUUUCAUUGAUCCAUUAUUAUGCUGCUUUGAUUCUUCUUGAACAGGGUGCAGUAUUAGGCUACUUGGACUUGGCAUGAUAUUGUUUGAGUCUUCUUGCCUUGCUGUUAAACUGUCUAAUCUUCCUAACUUCACUUCCCAAUCAGGUCCUCCUGUCAGUGCUACAGCAUCUCUAGAAGCCAUGAUUAUGAUAUUAGCACAAGAAACAACUCCAGGACAAGCUUUCUCAAGAGCCUCUUUAACCCUGUCAACAACCUCAAAUGAUCUCAGAGAAUUUAUAUUAGAAAGGGUCAAUUUCUCUCCAAGCAUCGUUGGUGUAUCAUCAAGCAACAUAGAAGCAUCACACCCAUUAGUUCAUCUUCCUGGGGAACUAUUUCUGCAGUUUGCAUCUGCAUUGAGAAUUGUAUUUAACCGAGGAUUUUCUGCCUUAAGGUUCAAUUGGAAAAAAACAACAUUGGCGAGAAGUAAGAACAGCAUCAACCAACACAAGAAUUCAAUGUUGGAUCUCCUUGUUGAAUUCUGCUGGAAAGAUUACUAAAAAUGCUUCAGAUGUUUCAGACGCACAAUUAAGCACAACAUCAUCCUGUUUCAUAGAAACCUCAACAUUAAUUUCAAUUGACACAAACACCAGUGAUAUUGACUGUUCACCAUUUUGAGGUUCAGGUCGUAUGGUUCAUGGUUGUAUGGCCUAGCUCAAACCAUUGUUCCAACUUCAGUCAUCAUAUCAUGACCUUAUGGAGUUCAUGUUUUGAUUUGGCUGCUGCAGUACCAUGAUGGCAAGAUGCGUCAAGGUUUGUGAUAGUGGUCAAGGCAUUUGCAAGGGUACUUGUGAGCGAAGCAGCAAGGGUGUUGUUAUGUUAACACAAGUUGGCGGCUAACUUCAACUUUUACUUCACCAUUCCGCUUCUGUUUCGAUAGGAACAACUGUUGGUUUUGACGGCGUGCAUCAUCUAUAUGUGCUACAUGAGAUGCUUUGGAUUUUU
Molecule: long non-coding RNA, 1627 nt
Organism: Lathyrus oleraceus (garden pea)
Lineage: Eukaryota; Viridiplantae; Streptophyta; Magnoliopsida; Fabales; Fabaceae
Exons: 5
Source: RefSeq, a predicted model, not a curated record